GCAUAACGCGAAGAACCUUACCCACCUUUGACAUGUAUGGAAUCCCGAAGAGAUUUGGGAGUGCUCGCAAGAGAGCCAUAACACAGGUGCUGCAUGGCUGUCGUCAGCUCGUGUCGUGAGAUGUUGGGUUAAGUCCCGCAACGAGCGCAACCCUUGUCUUUAGUUGCCAGCGAGUCAUGUCGGGCACUCUAAGGAGACUGCCUCGGAUAACGAGGAGGAAGGUGGGGAUGACGUCAAGUCAGCAUGGCCUUUAUGUCCAGGACUACACACGUGCUACAAUGGGCGGCACAGAAGGACGCGAGACCGCGAGGUCAAGCCAACCCUUAAAACCGUUCUCAGUUCGGAUUGCAGGCUGCAAUUCGCCUGCAUGAAGUCGGAAUCGCUAGUAAUCGCGGAUCAGCUACGCCGCGGUGAAUACGUUCUCGGGUCUUGUACACACCG
RNAcentral lists this ribosomal RNA (441 nucleotides) under uncultured bacterium. RNAcentral's name for it is "bacterial SSU rRNA". It matches the Rfam family "Bacterial small subunit ribosomal RNA", at positions 954 to 1392 of the family's 1533-position model. The record is from RNAcentral.